This 270-nucleotide ribosomal RNA is filed under the name Triticum aestivum (bread wheat). RNAcentral describes it as "partial small subunit ribosomal RNA". The record is from RNAcentral. Lineage: Eukaryota; Viridiplantae; Streptophyta; Magnoliopsida; Poales; Poaceae.
AUGCCACUAAAAGUUAUGAUUUUCAUGUGGUAUCUUCGAAGAGGAGUUGUGCUAACUAAAGACAAUCUUGCUAGACGCAACUGGCAAGGAAGCAAGAAGUGUAGUUUUUGUACUCAUGGCGAGACAAUCAAACACCUCUUCUUUCAAUGGAAGUUUGCGCGUUCUACAUGGUUCGUCAUCCAAAUAGCGUCCAAUUUGUAUGGCCGACAAGUGUUGCCAAUAUAUAUGGUCACUGGCUUGACGGAAUACCAAAUACGAUUAGUACGCUAA